CCUUCGAUAGCUCAGCUGGUAGAGCGGAGGACUGUAGGCUGUUUCUAGAGAGUAAUCCUUAGGUCGCUGGUUCAAUUCCGGCUCGAAGGA
RNAcentral lists this transfer RNA (90 nucleotides) under Egretta garzetta (little egret). It matches the Rfam family "tRNA". From Rfam's summary of the family: Transfer RNA (tRNA) molecules are approximately 80 nucleotides in length. The record is from Rfam by way of RNAcentral. Lineage: Eukaryota; Metazoa; Chordata; Aves; Pelecaniformes; Ardeidae.